This is a long non-coding RNA of Mangifera indica (mango), 958 nucleotides long. RefSeq lists it as uncharacterized. The transcript is spliced from 2 exons. The record is from RefSeq and is a predicted model, not a curated record. NCBI's taxonomy places the organism in Eukaryota, Viridiplantae, Streptophyta, Magnoliopsida, Sapindales, Anacardiaceae.
GCAGCAAUGAUGGUGGUGGCAUCAAGAGACAAAAAAAUUGGCAAAUGUUGUUCAGCAGCUACUUGCUUCUAAUCAAUUAAGAAUCAGCACCUCAAGGUUCUGGUGGUCUAUCUUAUGUUGAGUUGGAAACCAUACCUACUUUUAAGUAUUGUGAUCAGUCCAUAAUUCCUGAUAGCUCCAGUGAUGUUACAUGGGUGGAGAUUGCAAGUGCAGUAAAGAAUGUGUUCACCAAAGCAUCAGAACUGUGGAAGCGAUGAAUCACGGCAGAAAUUCUAUGGCAGCUCUUGUUGCUCAAGAUUGCUCUGAGAUAUGAUGGCUGGAAAGAAAGGUAUAUUUUUUCUCUAUGCUUUGAAAAUUAUGCUCUCAUCUGACUGGUGUUUUAGCUGCCAAGGCACUAUGCUGUGAUUUCUAUGAGGACCCGUGUGGUACAUCCUUCCAUCUCGUAUUACUUCUAGUGGGUGCUGCAGAAGCUGUGUGGAUUCUUAUACACUGCUUAUAAGUAAAUAUUGUUUCUCUAUGAUUGCUAUCAUCUCACAAUUUUUUCCCAUGGUCCUUUUCUUGAAAUGGGUGCUAAGCCAACAACAGUUACUGGUCUAUCAGGAAUUGGGGACAUCAUACUUACAUGUUGUGUAAAUCCUUCAAGAAAUAGAACGGUUGGCGUCCGUCUUGGAUCUGGACAGAUGCUUGAUGAUAUAUACCAAAUUCCAUGAACCAAGUAGUUUUUUAUACCUUUUGAAGUAACUGUUGCUACUCAAAUUUUGGUAAUCGGUGUGCUUAUCUGGAAUCUAUGUUCAAGAUAGCUGAAGGUGUAUCAACCGCUGGGCUUGUGAUUAUGCUGGUCCAAAAAUAUAAGGUCAAGAUGCCAGUUUUGACAGCAGUUGCUCGGAUCAUAGAUAAUGAACUAGAGUAAUACUACGCGUACCCAUUUUAAAUAUAUAAAUGAAUAUAUACUUAUAUA